UGCCAUGUGUGCUGGAUUCUUUCAGCCAUUGCCUCCAACCAGUUGCGUUGUGGAUAAUGCUGUUACACACUGUGUGCGGCUUUUGCCUAUUGAGAUGCCUGUCCAAAUCUGUCGCUGUCCACCUGAGGCAUUGAGGGUCAUCCAAGGAAAGUCAGUUGCUUUGGUCACAAUGAAUGGGCGGUAUGAUCUCAACAUGCCAGAGCUAAGCUGCGAGGGAUGCCAGGCUACUUGGACUGCAGAAGUGGAUGACCUUAUACAAAGUGGCUACCGGCCCGCCACCCUCAAUUUUGCAACAGUUUAUGAGGAAGACUUAUUUUUUACUUUUGAGAGCAUGAAGAUGGCAUCACCCGGAAUGUCCUGUCAGGCAUUUCUACGAAUGCUUGAGAAGCGGACUGUUCGCUUGGCCGUGUCAGUAUUUCUCUCUUUAUUCUGCAGCAUCCUACAUUUUUUAUGUUUUGAUAUUAGAAGUUCUUUUUCUAAUUGUUUUGCGCUGUUGUUGUUUUUUUAAUAGACUGGAAAGCUCUCAUCUGACAGCUUUCAGAAAAGCUUUUUUGAAUGGGCUGCUGUUCAAUAUGAA
This is a long non-coding RNA of Etheostoma spectabile (orangethroat darter), 577 nucleotides long. RefSeq lists it as uncharacterized. The record is from RefSeq and is a predicted model, not a curated record. Lineage: Eukaryota; Metazoa; Chordata; Actinopteri; Perciformes; Percidae. The transcript is spliced from 3 exons.